AACGCACCUUGCGCCCCUUGGUUAUUCCUUGGGGCAUGCCUGUUUGAGUAUCAUGAACACCUCAACUCUCACGGUCUUCCGUGACGAGCUUGGACUUUGGAGGUUUGCUGGCCCUGCGGCCGGCUCCUCUCAAACAAAUCAGCUUGCCAGUGUUUGGCGGCAUCUCACGGGUGUGAUAACUAUCUACGCUCGCGGUUGUCUGCCAGGUAACCCUCAGCGAUGAAGGUUCAUUGGGGCUCAUAAACGUCUCUCCUCGGCGAGGACAGCUUUUGAACGUUCGAUCUCAAAUCAGGUAGGACUACCCGCUGAACUUAA
RNAcentral lists this unclassified non-coding RNA (315 nucleotides) under uncultured Tomentella. RNAcentral describes it as "sequence contains ITS2". Lineage: Eukaryota; Fungi; Basidiomycota; Agaricomycetes; Thelephorales; Thelephoraceae. The record is from RNAcentral.